GGGGAAUAUUGGACAAUGGGCGAAAGCCUGAUCCAGCCAUGCCGCGUGUGUGAAGAAGGUCUUCGGAUUGUAAAGCACUUUAAGUUGGGAGGAAGGGCUGCAAGUUAAUACCUUGUAGUUUUGACGUUACCAACAGAAUAAGCACCGGCUAACUUCGUGCCAGCAGCCGCGGUAAUACGAAGGGUGCAAGCGUUAAUCGGAAUUACUGGGCGUAAAGCGCGCGUAGGUGGUUUGGUAAGAUGGAUGUGAAAUCCCCGGGCUCAACCUGGGAACGGCAAUCAGAACCGCCUGACUAGGGGAAGGUAAGGGGGGGGGGAAAUUCCUUGGUAGGGGUGAAAUGGGUAAGUAUAGGAAGGGAACACAGGGGGGAAGGGGACCCACGGGACUGGUUCCUGCACUGGGGUGGGAAAGGGUGGGGAGCAAAAC
Molecule: ribosomal RNA, 426 nt
Filed under: uncultured Pseudomonadaceae bacterium
Lineage: Bacteria; Pseudomonadati; Pseudomonadota; Gammaproteobacteria; Pseudomonadales; Pseudomonadaceae
Description: bacterial SSU rRNA
Rfam family: Bacterial small subunit ribosomal RNA
Source: RNAcentral